RNAcentral lists this unclassified non-coding RNA (500 nucleotides) under uncultured Glomus. Its description in RNAcentral is "SSU rRNA". It matches the Rfam family "Eukaryotic small subunit ribosomal RNA", at positions 591 to 1092 of the family's 1831-position model. Lineage: Eukaryota; Fungi; Glomeromycota; Glomeromycetes; Glomerales; Glomeraceae. The record is from RNAcentral.
CCAAUAGCGUAUAUUAAAGUUGUUGCAGUUAAAAAGCUCGUAGUUGAAUUUCGGGGUUAGUAAGUUGGUUGUGCCACUGGUAUGUACUGGCUUUACUGAUUCCUCCUUCUUGUAGAACCGUAAUGCCAUUAAGUUGGUGUUGCGGGGAAACAGGACUGUUACUUUGAAAAAAUUAGAGUGUUUAAAGCAAGUUAACGCUUGAAUACAUUAGCAUGGAAUAAUGAAAUAGGACGUUCGACCCUAUUUUGUUGGUUUCUAGGAUUGACGUAAUGAUUAAUCGGAAUAGUUGGGGGCAUUAGUAUUCAAUUGUCAGAGGUGAAAUUCUUGGAUUUAUUGAAGACUAACUACUGCGAAAGCAUUUGCCAAGGAUGUUUUCAUUAAUCAAGAACGAAAGUUAGGGGAUCGAAGACGAUCAGAUACCGUCGUAGUCUUAACCAUAAACUAUGCCGACUAGGGAUCGGAUGAUGUUAAUUUUAUAAUGACUCAUUCGGCGCCUUACG